GUACUGCUGAAGAGUCCCAAACUAGGACGAAACAGCUAUCCAGUGC
Molecule: non-coding RNA, 46 nt
Filed under: Trichobilharzia regenti
Lineage: Eukaryota; Metazoa; Platyhelminthes; Trematoda; Strigeidida; Schistosomatidae
Source: RNAcentral